Small nuclear RNA from Pelodiscus sinensis (Chinese soft-shelled turtle), 127 nucleotides. Its record names the gene U4. It matches the Rfam family "U4 spliceosomal RNA". From Rfam's summary of the family: U4 small nuclear RNA (U4 snRNA) is a component of the major U2-dependent spliceosome. The structure of U4 snRNA from yeast and human has been reported. Lineage: Eukaryota; Metazoa; Chordata; Testudines; Trionychidae. The record is from Ensembl.
CAAUUAGUGCAAUGGCAGUAUCAUAACCAAUGAGGUUAAUCUGGGGCAUGAUUAUUGCUAAUUGAAAACUUCUCUACCAGGGCCUGUAUGAAUGAUGCAGUCAAACUGCCCAAUGUACCUAUUUAGG